ACUUAGGAUCCUUUAGGAUCCACCCACAGAUACAUCUUGUUAAAAU
Fukomys damarensis (Damara mole-rat) is the source of this 46-nucleotide non-coding RNA. The record is from Rfam. Lineage: Eukaryota; Metazoa; Chordata; Mammalia; Rodentia; Bathyergidae.